Aspergillus ruber CBS 135680 is the source of this 88-nucleotide transfer RNA. It matches the Rfam family "tRNA". Rfam says of the family: Transfer RNA (tRNA) molecules are approximately 80 nucleotides in length. Their secondary structure includes four short double-helical elements and three loops (D, anti-codon, and T loops). NCBI's taxonomy places the organism in Eukaryota, Fungi, Ascomycota, Eurotiomycetes, Eurotiales, Aspergillaceae. The record is from Rfam.
UCCUCGAUGGUCUAGUGGUCAUGAUUUCCGCUUGUCAGUUUAGUAACUGCAAGCGCGGGAGACCUGGGUUCGAUUCCCAGUCGGGGAG